CGCCUGUUUAUCAAAAACAUCACCUCUAGCAUCACCAGUAUUAGAGGCACCGCCUGCCCAGUGACNUCNCNUGNNNNNNNAAACAUUUNUUUUUGGAAAGAAUAAAAAGUAAUUUCUGCUCAAUGAUCUAGGAUUAAAUAGCUGCAUUUUGUACUAAGGUAGCAUAAUAAAUUGUUCAUUAAUUGUGAACUGGAAUGAAGGGAAAAAUGGUCUAAUACUAUCUAUAUUCUUAUGAAUUGAAUUUAAAUUUUUUGUAAAAAUGCAAAAAUAUUUUUUAGGGACAAGAAGACCCUAUAAAGCUUAUUUGAUUUCUAAAUUAUUAAGAUAUAGAAAUCCAUUUGAUUGGGGCAAUAAUUUAUAAGUAAAAAAUAUAAAUUUUAUUAUUGUAGGAAAGUAUAAACAUUUUGAUCCAUUAUUAAUGAAAAAUGAUUAAGUUACUUUAGGGAUAACAGGAUAAUUUUUAUUAGAAAGAUCUUAUUAAUAAUAAAGUUUAUUACCUCGAUGUUGAAUUAAUUUAAUUUAAUGGUGAAGUAACUUUUUGAGUUNGACUGUUCGUCAAUUAAAUAAUUACA
RNAcentral lists this ribosomal RNA (572 nucleotides) under Aoraki sp. 1 SLB-2021a. RNAcentral's name for it is "partial large subunit ribosomal RNA". It matches the Rfam family "Bacterial large subunit ribosomal RNA", at positions 1797 to 2600 of the family's 2925-position model. The record is from RNAcentral. Lineage: Eukaryota; Metazoa; Arthropoda; Arachnida; Opiliones; Pettalidae.